UACGUAGGUGGCAAGCGUUAAUCGGAAUUACUGGGCGUAAAGCGCACGCAGGCGGUCUGUCAAGUCGGAUGUGAAAUCCCCGGGCUCAACCUGGGAACUGCAUUUCGAACUGGCAAGCUAGAGUCUUGUAGAGGGGGGUAGAAUUCCAGGUGUAGCGGUGAAAUGCGUAGAGAUCUGGGGGAACAUCCGUGGCGAAGGCGGCACCCUGGACCAGCACUGACGCUGAGGCACGAAAGCGUGGGGAGCAAACAGG
Molecule: unclassified non-coding RNA, 253 nt
Filed under: uncultured Enterobacteriaceae bacterium
Lineage: Bacteria; Pseudomonadati; Pseudomonadota; Gammaproteobacteria; Enterobacterales; Enterobacteriaceae
Description: contains 16S-23S intergenic spacer region
Rfam family: Bacterial small subunit ribosomal RNA
Source: RNAcentral